Lonchura striata (white-rumped munia) is the source of this 361-nucleotide non-coding RNA. Lineage: Eukaryota; Metazoa; Chordata; Aves; Passeriformes; Estrildidae. The record is from RefSeq and is a predicted model, not a curated record.
AGGAGCCAUAUUCCAGCUGUUCUCAGACUUUUCCAUUUCUGGAAGCCUACCCCUCCUUCAGCUCCAACCACAUAUGUCCACACAAUAGAAAUUCAGUCAUUCUCCAAGAGGCAACUUGCUUGAUGACAAUCAGCAGUCCUGCCACUUUCAGAUGUCGCCAGCUAUCUCUUGCUGCUGCUUUAUUUCAGGUUUGAAGUUCCCUCUGUUCUUUGCUCUUUUCUGGUUGAAAAAUCCUUCCCACCCUGGUGUUUAAAUACUUGGGAAAGCAUUUUCAAAAGACCCAAAAAUGUAUGUGGGAUACUUGAGAUUUUGUUUAAAAAGAAAUUAAAAAGGAAUAAACUUUCAGAGUCCUGUUGUAUGA